This is a non-coding RNA of Ophiophagus hannah (king cobra), 59 nucleotides long. Lineage: Eukaryota; Metazoa; Chordata; Lepidosauria; Squamata; Elapidae. The record is from Rfam.
CUGUUCUUUGUGAAGGCCUGAUCUUAAAUCAAGGAUGGAUCAGGCUUGAUGUCUGACAG